UACGUAGGGGGCUAGCGUUGUCCGGAAUCAUUGGGCGUAAAGCGCGUGUAGGCGGUCCGGUAAGUCCGCUGUGAAAGUCGGGGGCUCAACCCUCGGAUGCCGGUGGAUACUGUCGGGCUUGAGUACGGAAGAGGCGAGUGGAAUUCCUGGUGUAGCGGUGAAAUGCGCAGAUAUCGGGAGGAACGCCAGUGGCGAAGGCGGCUUCCUGGCCUGUUCUUGACGCUGAGGCGCGAAAGCUAGGGGAGCAAACAGG
RNAcentral lists this ribosomal RNA (253 nucleotides) under uncultured bacterium. RNAcentral describes it as "partial 16S ribosomal RNA". It matches the Rfam family "Bacterial small subunit ribosomal RNA", at positions 524 to 776 of the family's 1533-position model. The record is from RNAcentral.